Non-coding RNA from Sclerotinia borealis F-4128, 81 nucleotides. NCBI's taxonomy places the organism in Eukaryota, Fungi, Ascomycota, Leotiomycetes, Helotiales, Sclerotiniaceae. The record is from the annotation of a GenBank genome assembly.
GGCACUUUGCCAGAGUGGUUAAUGGGUAGCACUCGAAAUGCUAUGUCUUCGGACGCGCAGGUUCAAAUCCUGCAGGUGUCG